AUACGGAGGGUGCAAGCGUUAAUCGGAAUUACUGGGCGUAAAGCGCGCGUAGGCGGCUUGGUAAGUCGGAUGUGAAAUCCCCGGGCUUAACCUGGGAAUUGCAUUCGAUACUGUCAGGCUAGAGUGUGGUAGAGGGAAGUGGAAUUUCCGGUGUAGCGGUGAAAUGCGUAGAUAUCGGAAGGAACACCAGUGGCGAAGGCGGCUUCCUGGAACAACUCUGACGCUGAGGCGCGAAAGCGUGGGGAGCAAACAGGAUUAGAAACCCUAGUAGUCC
This 274-nucleotide ribosomal RNA is filed under the name uncultured bacterium. RNAcentral describes it as "partial 16S ribosomal RNA". It matches the Rfam family "Bacterial small subunit ribosomal RNA", at positions 523 to 796 of the family's 1533-position model. The record is from RNAcentral.